AAUUCGAGUCGCCUUCCCAAAUCCGAACGGUCCGGUGUGCGUCGAAGGCAGCUAGAGAGCAGAGAGCGAAGUGGAGGGCAGGAGAGCUGGAAGAGAUGGGUCUGAAGGCGGAGAAGGGAAGAUCUUCUGUUGCUAAGGCAGCGGUGAUCCAAUGCAACAACAGUGAUGCCAUCGAUCACUGGGCGUUUUUGGAAGAAAUCGAAGCCCCAAUGUGGGCAGACCUUACAAUGGAAGCUCCAUUCAUGGACCAAGAAGACAUUGACAGUGCUUGGUUUUUGGUAUCACAUUCGUUCCAUCAAAUGUCAUCUCAGAAACUGAAGAAAUACCUCCAUGGCAAAGAUAAAGAGAGAUUGCAUAAUUUGCGAUGCCACUCUCCUGAGGUUCCCGACUCUGUCUCGCGAUCUAGAGGCAAGCAUUACAAGAGCAGAAAGUGGUUGGAGAGUACGCGCGAGUCCACUGCUAAACAACACCCUGUUAGGAAAUUGGGUGCAACAAGUUUGCAGACAGAAAUAAAGAAAGAUCUUGCUCAUGAGACCUCAAGAAGCACAAUCACGAUAUGUUCAUUAUCAAGAACGCCAUCUGAGUGCUUACUGACUGAUAACGAAAUCUCCAUUACUGAAACGAAUAUCAUAUCUGGAAAGGCCCCAUCAAGCACUGCCAUGUCUAAGUAUCAGAAUUUAAGAUCCAAGGUGAGUGUUGGAUUUACAAGAAGCACUCCUAAGAGAGGAACUUUGAGGAUAGCCUGCAAAACUAGCAGUGCUAUCCAGCCAAACUUGACAGGCAAUAGGAAGACAUUAUGCUCCAGAAAAGAAAGAAACAAGACUGAAGAUCUCUUGCACAAGCUCAAUUCUUCAUCUGGCAAAUCCAGUGUUGGUUCUUCUAACAGCCUUGGAAGCGUACUUGAGAAUGCUCAUUCUACUAAUUCAGCAAAAAAUGGAAGGGACAAUGAAAGUAAGAAGUCACUAGCUAGUCUACCAAAGGUGCAUGAAAAGAAGAGUAAACAUAGAGUUCAACAUUUGCAGCAUCAAACUAUAGCAAGUAGUGCUAAAAUUGUCUGCAAAGAAUCAAAAUCCAAGGUUUUAGGUUCAAACAAAAUUAGGAAGCCUGCAAGUGGGUUCAACAAACCAAAAUCACAAACAAAUGUAGCUGUGACAAAACAGACAGUCGUUGCUGGUGCUGAAAGAAGUAAAUUUGUCUCUGUUUAACAAAGAAAAUAUUAUUAGAGGCAAGCUGCUAUAUCCCAGAUCUUCGAAACUAAACACAUAAACUAGGUAAAAUGCAAUGGAUGGAUAUGGUGCUUCAAUUGUAUAUAGAUCCCUCUGAGCUAUGAUUCCUUCCACCACCUUAGUCAUCAUACCUUGGGCGAAACAUGUGACUUUCCCAUAUAUUUUGAUAUCAUAUUGGUUUUUCUUGUUGAAGUCUUGGGAUUAUGUACUUUUCAAAUGCUUGAGUGGAUAUAAUGGCAGCUAAGUGUACAUUCCGUA
Zingiber officinale is the source of this 1484-nucleotide RNA transcript. RefSeq lists it as uncharacterized. The transcript is spliced from 7 exons. Lineage: Eukaryota; Viridiplantae; Streptophyta; Magnoliopsida; Zingiberales; Zingiberaceae. The record is from RefSeq and is a predicted model, not a curated record.